RNAcentral lists this ribosomal RNA (253 nucleotides) under uncultured bacterium. RNAcentral describes it as "partial 16S ribosomal RNA". It matches the Rfam family "Bacterial small subunit ribosomal RNA", at positions 524 to 776 of the family's 1533-position model. The record is from RNAcentral.
UACAGAGGUCCCAAGCGUUGUUCGGAUUCACUGGGCGUAAAGGGUGCGUAGGCGGUCGGGUAAGUCUGAUGUGAAAUCUCACAGCUUAACUGUGAAACUGCAUUGGAUACUAUCCGGCUCGAGGAAUGGAGGGGAGACUGGAAUACUUGGUGUAGCAGUGAAAUGCGUAGAUAUCAAGAGGAACACCGGUGGUGUAGACGGCUUUCUGGACCGUAACUGACGCUGAGACACGAAAGCGUGGGUAGCAAACAGG